This 464-nucleotide ribosomal RNA is filed under the name Streptococcus sp. oral taxon C65. Its description in RNAcentral is "bacterial SSU rRNA". It matches the Rfam family "Bacterial small subunit ribosomal RNA", at positions 28 to 474 of the family's 1533-position model. Lineage: Bacteria; Bacillati; Bacillota; Bacilli; Lactobacillales; Streptococcaceae. The record is from RNAcentral.
GACGAACGCUGGCGGCGUGCCUAAUACAUGCAAGUAGAACGCUGAAGAGAGGAGCUUGCUCUUCUUGGAUGAGUUGCGAACGGGUGAGUAACGCGUAGGUAACCUGCCUUGUAGCGGGGGAUAACUAUUGGAAACGAUAGCUAAUACCGCAUAACAAUGGAUGACACAUGUCAUUUAUUUGAAAGGGGCAAUUGCUCCACUACAAGAUGGACCUGCGUUGUAUUAGCUAGUAGGUGAGGUAACGGCUCACCUAGGCGACGAUACAUAGCCGACCUGAGAGGGUGAUCGGCCACACUGGGACUGAGACACGGCCCAGACUCCUACGGGAGGCAGCAGUAGGGAAUCUUCGGCAGUGGGGGCAACCCUGACCGAGCAACGCCGCGUGAGUGAAGAAGGUUUUCGGAUCGUAAAGCUCUGUUGUAAGUCAAGAACGAGUGUGAGAGUGGAAAGUUCACACUGUGACG